This 253-nucleotide ribosomal RNA is filed under the name uncultured bacterium. Its description in RNAcentral is "partial 16S ribosomal RNA". It matches the Rfam family "Bacterial small subunit ribosomal RNA", at positions 524 to 776 of the family's 1533-position model. The record is from RNAcentral.
UACGAAGGGGGCUAGCGUUGUUCGGAUUUACUGGGCGUAAAGCGCACGUAGGCGGAUCGAUCAGUCAGGGGUGAAAUCCCAGAGCUCAACUCUGGAGCUGCCUUUGAUACUGUCGAUCUGGAGUAUGGAAGAGGUGAGUGGAAUUCCGAGUGUAGAGGUGAAAUUCGUAGAUAUUCGGAGGAACACCAGUGGCGAAGGCGGCUCACUGGUCCAUUACUGACGCUGAGGCGCGAAAGCUAGGGGAGCAAACAGG